Molecule: small RNA, 29 nt
Filed under: Bombyx mori (domestic silkworm)
Lineage: Eukaryota; Metazoa; Arthropoda; Insecta; Lepidoptera; Bombycidae
Description: ovarian small RNA-14856
Source: RNAcentral
CUGAAAUUUGUGGUCGAUGCCGCCCAUUG